RNAcentral lists this ribosomal RNA (445 nucleotides) under uncultured Microbacteriaceae bacterium. RNAcentral describes it as "bacterial SSU rRNA". It matches the Rfam family "Bacterial small subunit ribosomal RNA", at positions 338 to 795 of the family's 1533-position model. The record is from RNAcentral. Lineage: Bacteria; Bacillati; Actinomycetota; Actinomycetes; Micrococcales; Microbacteriaceae.
CCUACGGGUGGCUGCAGUGGGGAAUAUUGCACAAUGGGCGCAAGCCUGAUGCAGCAACGCCGCGUGAGGGAUGACGGCCUUCGGGUUGUAAACCUCUUUUAGUAGGGAAGAAGCGAAAGUGACGGUACCUGCAGAAAAAGCACCGGCUAACUACGUGCCAGCAGCCGCGGUAAUACGUAGGGUGCAAGCGUUGUCCGGAAUUAUUGGGCGUAAAGAGCUCGUAGGCGGCUUGUCGCGUCUGCUGUGAAAUCCCGGAGCUCAACUCCGGGCCUGCAGUGGGUACGGGCAGGCUAGAGUGCGGUAGGGGAGAUUGGAAUUCCUGGUGUAGCGGUGGAAUGCGCAGAUAUCAGGAGGAACACCGAUGGCGAAGGCAGAUCUCUGGGCCGUAACUGACGCUGAGGAGCGAAAGCAUGGGGAGCGAACAGGAUUAGAUACCCUGGUAGUC